This 403-nucleotide ribosomal RNA is filed under the name uncultured bacterium. Its description in RNAcentral is "bacterial SSU rRNA". It matches the Rfam family "Bacterial small subunit ribosomal RNA", at positions 30 to 431 of the family's 1533-position model. The record is from RNAcentral.
AUUGAACGCUGGCGGCAGGCCUAACACAUGCAAGUCGAGCGGUAGAGAGGUGCUUGCAUCUCUUGAGAGCGGCGGACGGGUGAGUAAUGCCUAGGAAUCUGCCUAGUGGUGGGGGAUAACGUUCGGAAACGGACGCUAAUACCGCAUACGUCCUACGGGAGAAAGCGGGGGAUCUUCGGACCUCGCGCCAUUAGAUGAGCCUAGGUCGGAUUAGCUAGUUGGUGAGGUAAUGGCUCACCAAGGCGACGAUCCGUAACUGGUCUGAGAGGAUGAUCAGUCACACUGGAACUGAGACACGGUCCAGACUCCUACGGGAGGCAGCAGUGGGGAAUAUUGGACAAUGGGCGAAAGACCUGAUCCAGCCACGCCGCGUGUGUGAAGAAGGGUCUUCGGAUUGUAAAGC